RNAcentral lists this small RNA (273 nucleotides) under Pan troglodytes (chimpanzee). Lineage: Eukaryota; Metazoa; Chordata; Mammalia; Primates; Hominidae. The record is from RNAcentral.
GGUAUCUUGCUGCAACAUCGGUCACCCCAUUGAUUGUCAGGUUAUUCAGCUAUUGUAUCUUUGUGUUCCUUUGUCUUGAGGUACCAUCCCAGUAGAGGAGGACAGGUCUUCGGUCAAGGGUAUAUGAGUAGCCGCUCUCCCCUGCUAGAACCUCCAAACAAGCUCUGAUGAAUACUCAAAAAUAUUUUCCAAAUUCUGGAAAAAUCAGCUACAGUGAAACAAAUAUGCUCCAAAUUUUGUUAAUAGGAGUAUACUUUACUCAAUUGCUAAAAG